AAAACCGGAGAGAGCUAACAGGAUUCCCCUAGUAACUGCGAGUGAAGCGGGAAAAGCUCAAAUUUAAAAUCUGGCGGUCUUUGGCCGUCCGAGUUGUAAUCUAGAGAAGUAAUGCCCGUGCUGGACCGUGUAUAAGUCUCCUGGGAUGGGGCGUCAUAGAGGGUGAGAAUCCCGUCUUUGACACGGACUACCAGUGCAUUGUGGUAUGCUCUCAAAGAGUCGAGUUGUUUGGGAAUGCAGCUCAAAAUGGGUGGUAAAUUCCAUCUAAAGCUAAAUAUUGGCGAGAGACCGAUAGCGAACAAGUACCGUGAGGGAAAGAUGAAAAGAACUUUGGAAAGAGAGUUAAACAGUACGUGAAAUUGCUGAAAGGGAAACGCUUGAAGUCAGUCGCGUUGGCCAGGGAUCAGCCUUGCUUUUGCAUGGUGUACUUUCUGGUUGACGGGUCAGCAUCAAUUUUGACCGCUGGAAAAAGGCUUGGGGAAUGUGGCAGCAUUGGCUGUGUUAUAGCCCCUGGUCACAUACAGCGGUUGGGAUUGAGGAACUCAGCACGCCGCAAGGCCGGGUUUCGACCACGUUCGUGCUUAGGAUGCUGGCAUAAUGGCUUUAAGCGACCCGUCUUGAAACACGGACCAAGGAGUCUAACAUGCCUGCGAGUAUUUGGGUGGAAAACCCGAGUGCGCAAUGAAAGUGAAAGUUGAGAUCCCUGUCGUGGGGAGCAUCGACGCCCGGACCAGAACUUUUGCGACGGAUCCGCGGUGGAGCAUGUAUGUUGGGACCCGAAAGAUGGUGAACUAUGCCUGAAUAGGGUGAAGCCAGAGGAAACUCUGGUGGAGGCUCGUAGCGAUUCUGACGUGCAAAUCGAUCGUCAAAUUUGGGUAUAGGGGCGAAAGACUAAUCGAUCAUCUAUGCUUA
RNAcentral lists this ribosomal RNA (912 nucleotides) under Agaricus trisulphuratus. RNAcentral's name for it is "partial large subunit ribosomal RNA". It matches the Rfam family "Eukaryotic large subunit ribosomal RNA", at positions 46 to 949 of the family's 3401-position model. The record is from RNAcentral. Lineage: Eukaryota; Fungi; Basidiomycota; Agaricomycetes; Agaricales; Agaricaceae.